This 158-nucleotide unclassified non-coding RNA is filed under the name uncultured Phialophora. Its description in RNAcentral is "sequence contains ITS1". Lineage: Eukaryota; Fungi; Ascomycota; Leotiomycetes. The record is from RNAcentral.
CAGAGAACAUCGCCCUCACGGGUGACUCUCCAACCCUAUGUUAUACAACCUUUGUUGCUUUGGCGAGCCGCCUCGGCCGCUGGCUUCGGCUAGCGAGUGCUCGCCAGAGGACCCCAAACUCUGAAUAUUAAUGUCGUCUGAGUACUAUAUAAUAGUUA